CAGCAGCCACGGUAAUACGUAGGGUGCGAGCGUUAAUCGGAAUUACUGGGCGUAAAGCGUGUGUAGGUGGUUGUUUAAGUCUGUUGUGAAAUCCCCGGGCCCAACCUGGGAAUGGCAAUGGAUACUGGCAAGCUAGAGUGUGUCAGAGGAUGGUGGAAUUCCCGGUGUAGCGGUGAAAUGCGUAGAGAUCGGGAGGAACAUCAGUGGCGAAGGCGGCCAUCUGGGACAACACUGACGCUGAGGCACGAAAGCGUGGGGAGCAAACAGGAUUAGAUACCCCCGUAGUCCCUGUCUCUUAUAC
RNAcentral lists this ribosomal RNA (301 nucleotides) under uncultured bacterium. RNAcentral's name for it is "partial 16S ribosomal RNA". It matches the Rfam family "Bacterial small subunit ribosomal RNA", at positions 509 to 807 of the family's 1533-position model. The record is from RNAcentral.